Long non-coding RNA from Columba livia (rock pigeon), 1352 nucleotides. RefSeq lists it as uncharacterized. The transcript is spliced from 3 exons. NCBI's taxonomy places the organism in Eukaryota, Metazoa, Chordata, Aves, Columbiformes, Columbidae. The record is from RefSeq and is a predicted model, not a curated record.
AUUUUCAAAGUAACUCAACUGGAUCCACCUGAAAGUUUAGUCCUAGCACCUGUUGCUCUCCCAGCAGGGCAGAAGAGGAGUUUGAAUAGCCAGUAGUGCACUAGAUUCCUGAUCGGUGGCUGAAAAAAGCCCAACCAAAACAGAAAACAAACAAAACAAAAAACAAACAAACAAAGAAGAAAACCCAAAACACACAAAAAAACAAAACCAGUGCUUUUAAAGGUUGAAAAAGUGACUGUGAAAUAUUUCUCUUUCAUCUGGGAAACAAGAUACUUGUGUUCCAAAGAAUUUACAGAGCACACAACACUAGAUCCACUAUGACUUUACACAAGACUGAUCUUCCUGGAGUGUUUGGGAGUUUUCUGCCAUCUGCCAGUUGUUACUUUCUUGUAACAUUCUGGAAAAUAAAAAAUAUGGAGAAAGGAAAACAAACAUCUCUGUGUAGGUAGCUCUGUAUUCUGCCUAGUCAAUCAAUAUAUUACAAUGGAAAUGGAUGACACCAUGAAUUCCUCUCAUGUAGUUGUAUGCUUAAAAGAAAAGUAUAAGGUAGGUAUGCAAACUGAAAGGAAAAAUAAUACUAUGUGUUGAAGGGCAGAAACCAGUUUGGGAUCUGAAUUUUGGUUUUACAUACAUCCAGGAGAACAGAAGGUUUAAUGAUUACUUCCUCUCUUGUCAUUUCCAAUUUGCCAAUUUAAUUCAUCUUUCGUCAAUAGUUUAUUUAGUUAGAUUUUUUCCUUUGUUUGAGCUUGGGGUAUUUCAGGGUGUUUCCUGCUGGCUGUUCAAAUUGUCUCCAAGAAAUGAGGUAACUGGAAGCUAAAUUGGCAAUGCUUAAGACUGCUAUGAAUAUGUGUGUUCUGAGGCUAAAAAACUUGCUUGGUUUGUUCUUAAAAAUUAUGAAGGGCAAAACUGGUAUUUAGUAGAUUGUUUAGCCUAUUGUCAUUUUAUUAACAUUGUGGGUGUUUUUUCUGUUUUUUUUUAAUUGUUUGUGGGUGAAAAUAAUAUAUAUCUCAAAGAACAAAUAGCUAGCUCUCAAGUUCAUCAAAUAAAAUAUACUGAAUUGGUUAGAAGAAUGUAUUAGUUGAAGCAUCUAAGAAUGUAUACCUUUCAAGACCCAGCCACAACUGUAAAAGUACUCUUAUUUUUCUGACUGUGAUGUUAAACAGAGUCUCCAACACAGCUAGCGGGAGAAGGUCUUUGUUUUCCAUUUUGGUUGUCACCAGUCCAAAAUUCACUUCAUGAGGUGGGGUUGUGGAAAGAGAGGGAAUACCACUCUUCUUCCUAUUACUUACUAUAAACCUGUUAACCUGUUUUGCUCAUUACAUAGCUCCACCAGUUUCCUUCAGAAUAACCUU